RNAcentral lists this ribosomal RNA (1046 nucleotides) under uncultured Bacteroides sp. Its description in RNAcentral is "bacterial SSU rRNA". It matches the Rfam family "Bacterial small subunit ribosomal RNA", at positions 443 to 1499 of the family's 1533-position model. The record is from RNAcentral. Lineage: Bacteria; Pseudomonadati; Bacteroidota; Bacteroidia; Bacteroidales; Bacteroidaceae.
GGAAUAAAGUCGGGUAUGCAUACCCGUUUGCAUGUACUUUAUGAAUAAGGAUCGGCUAACUCCGUGCCAGCAGCCGCGGUAAUACGGAGGAUCCGAGCGUUAUCCGGAUUUAUUGGGUUUAAAGGGAGCGUAGAUGGAUGUUUAAGUCAGUUGUGAAAGUUUGCGGCUCAACCGUAAAAUUGCAGUUGAUACUGGAUGUCUUGAGUGCAGUUGAGGCAGGCGGAAUUCGUGGUGUAGCGGUGAAAUGCUUAGAUAUCACGAAGAACUCCGAUUGCGAAGGCAGCCUGCUAAGCUGCAACUGACAUUGAGGCUCGAAAGUGUGGGUAUCAAACAGGAUUAGAUACCCUGGUAGUCCACACGGUAAACGAUGAAUACUCGCUGUUUGCGAUAUACGGCAAGCGGCCAAGCGAAAGCGUUAAGUAUUCCACCUGGGGAGUACGCCGGCAACGGUGAAACUCAAAGGAAUUGACGGGGGCCCGCACAAGCGGAGGAACAUGUGGUUUAAUUCGAUGAUACGCGAGGAACCUUACCCGGGCUUAAAUUGCACUCGAAUGAUCCGGAAACGGUUCAGCUAGCAAUAGCGAGUGUGAAGGUGCUGCAUGGUUGUCGUCAGCUCGUGCCGUGAGGUGUCGGCUUAAGUGCCAUAACGAGCGCAACCCUUGUUGUCAGUUACUAACAGGUGAUGCUGAGGACUCUGACAAGACUGCCAUCGUAAGAUGUGAGGAAGGUGGGGAUGACGUCAAAUCAGCACGGCCCUUACGUCCGGGGCUACACACGUGUUACAAUGGGGGGGUACAGAGGGCCGCUACCACGCGAGUGGAUGCCAAUCCCUAAAACCCCUCUCAGUUCGGACUGGAGUCUGCAACCCGACUCCACGAAGCUGGAUUCGCUAGUAAUCGCGCAUCAGCCACGGCGCGGUGAAUACGUUCCCGGGCCUUGUACACACCGCCCGUCAAGCCAUGGGAGCCGGGGGUACCUGAAGUGCGUAACCGCGAGGAUCGCCCUAGGGUAAAACUGGUGACUGGGGCUAAGUCGUAACAAGGUAA